AAUAGAUACCCGGGUAGUCCACGCCGUAAACGAUGGAUGCUAGCUAUUGGGGGGAAUCGACCCCCUCCGAAGCGAAGCUAACGCGUUAAGCAUCCCGCCUGAGUAGUACGAGCGCAAGCUUAAAACUACAAAGGAAUUGACGGGGACCCGCACAAGCGGUGGAGCGUGUGGUUUAAUUCGAUGGUAAACGAAGGACCUUACCAAGGUUUGACAUCCCGGUAGCCGUUCUCCGAAAGGAGAAUUUCAUUUAGUUGGACCGGUGACAGGUGAUGCAUGGCCGUCGUCAGCUCGUGUCGUGAGAUGUUGGGUUAAGUCCCGCAACGAGCGCAACCCUUAUGAUUUAGUUGGAUUUUUCUAAACAGACUGCCCUGGUAACAGGGAGGAAGGAGGGGAUGAUGUCAGGUCAGUAUUUCCCUUACACCUUGGGGCGACACACGCGCUACAAUGGCCGGUACAAUGGGCAGCUAAGCCGCGAGGUGGAGCAAAUCCCAUCAAAGCCGGUCCCAGUUCGGAUUGCAGGCUGAAACCCCGCUGCAUGAAGCCGGAAUCGCUAGUAA
Molecule: ribosomal RNA, 557 nt
Filed under: uncultured bacterium
Lineage: Bacteria
Description: bacterial SSU rRNA
Rfam family: Bacterial small subunit ribosomal RNA
Source: RNAcentral